RNAcentral lists this ribosomal RNA (506 nucleotides) under uncultured bacterium. RNAcentral describes it as "partial 16S ribosomal RNA". It matches the Rfam family "Bacterial small subunit ribosomal RNA", at positions 29 to 523 of the family's 1533-position model. The record is from RNAcentral.
AGUGAACGCUGGCGGUAGGCCUAACACAUGCAAGUCGAACGGCAGCACAGAGGAGCUUGCUCCUUGGGUGGCGAGUGGCGGACGGGUGAGGAAUACAUCGGAAUCUACUCUGUCGUGGGGGAUAACGUAGGGAAACUUACGCUAAUACCGCAUACGACCUACGGGUGAAAGCAGGGGACCUUCGGGCCUUGCGCGAUUGAAUGAGCCGAGUUAGGAUUAGCUAGUUGGCGGGGUAAAGGCCCACCAAGGCGACGAUCCGUAGCUGGUCUGAGAGGAUGAUCAGCCACACUGGAACUGAGACACGGUCCAGACUCCUACGGGAGGCAGCAGUGGGGAAUAUUGGACAAUGGGCGCAAGCCUGAUCCAGCCAUACCGCGUGGGUGAAGAAGGCCUUCGGGUUGUAAAGCCCUUUUGUUGGGAAAGAAAUCCAGCUGGCUAAUACCCGGUUGGGAUGACGGUACCCAAAGAAUAAGCACCGGCUAACUUCGUGCCAGCCGCCGCGGUAA